Desmophyllum pertusum is the source of this 80-nucleotide non-coding RNA. NCBI's taxonomy places the organism in Eukaryota, Metazoa, Cnidaria, Anthozoa, Scleractinia, Caryophylliidae. The record is from the annotation of a GenBank genome assembly.
UCCCGCAUACUGCUAGGAUUAGGUGGUAGAGCGUCCGACCGGUGUGCGGAAGGUCAUAGGUUCGACUCCUGUUGGGGGAA